GAAUGUGGCGAAGUGGUUAACGCACCGGAUUGUGGCUCCGGCAUUCGUGAGUUCGAUUCUCAUCAUUC
Molecule: transfer RNA, 68 nt
Filed under: Enterococcus cecorum
Lineage: Bacteria; Bacillati; Bacillota; Bacilli; Lactobacillales; Enterococcaceae
Also listed under: 2 other names
Rfam family: tRNA
About the family: Transfer RNA (tRNA) molecules are approximately 80 nucleotides in length.
Source: RNAcentral